Molecule: ribosomal RNA, 305 nt
Filed under: uncultured bacterium
Lineage: Bacteria
Description: bacterial SSU rRNA
Rfam family: Bacterial small subunit ribosomal RNA
Source: RNAcentral
GUCCUACGGGGGGCAGCAGUGGGGAAUAUUGCACAAUGGGGGAAACCCUGAUGCAGCGACGCCGCGUGGGCGAGGAAGUACCUCGGUAUGUAAAGCCCUAUCAGCAGGGAAGAAACAGGACAGUACCUGACUAAGAAGCCCCGGCUAACUACGUGCCAGCAGCCGCGGUAAUACGUAGGGGGCAAGCGUUAUCCGGAUUCACUGGGCGUAAAGGGAGCGCAGGCGGCAUGGCAAGUCUGAUGUGAAAACCCGGGGCCCAACCCCGGGACUGCUCUUGGAACUGCAUGGCUGGAGUACAGGAGGGG